GUCCAGACAGAUUUGUUGCUUAAUGAAUGAACUACCAUUCAUGCCAGCUGCCUCCUCUGAUUUACACAGUUCUUCAUCCACCAUCCAUUCUUACAUAACAUCACUAGAUCCUUCCUAAAUAUCCUGUGGCAAUUCCUCCUCAGGAGAGCCUGAGGAGGAAGAAUCAGUAAAGCCCUGUUUUCUAAACAGUUUUUGUUCAUCCCUAGUCUUAAUCCAAACCAAUGUAAGACACUGUGAAAGAUAACUGUCUGUCAGGUGUUGAAGACGUUUCUUUUUUUUUUUUUUGCCUUACUAUGAAACUAAUUGGGCUGGGACCAUUUCUUAUGAAAAGCAAUGGCAUCCACGUCCAGCAGUGUGAGGUGAGCAUGAAGUCACAAUAUCCUCUGAACAACAGCCAAAACUUGCUGCUGCAUGGUGAAGCCAAGGUUUUUUUCUUGUUAGGGGUUUUGUUAUGGGGACAUAAUUUUCUGGAUAGGGGCAAAAAAAAAAUGGAAGGGAAAGGUCUUAGAAAGGAAGUAAACACUGAGGAGACCACAAAGCUUCUUGCCGUGGUUUAGGAGCAGCUGCAGCCCAAAGCAUUGUGGGAACGGCUUUCCCAUCUGAGCCCAUUAGUCACCAGAUGUCAUCUGCUGCUGCCAGGGCUUCAAACAGCCAAGCAGACAAUGUCCUAUGCAUGCUGAACAUCUGAAUGCCGACUCCUUCAAUAAUGUGGACAGCUCAAUGGGUUCAAAUGACAUCCUUGAAACACCUGACCUCAAAGCCAUGUUUAUACUGACACCUACAGCUCUGUAAGGAAACACAGGCAAGGCUCAGAUGCAUUUCUAGGCUGGCACCGUGAGCACUAUUUCUCAUUUAUUUAAAGAAGAAAGGGAGAAGGAGAGAGAAAACCCUGCUCUUUGAAAGAUUAAUUGAGUGGAUUUGCUAGAGGAAAUAGACUUUUGAUUGACUUUUUGCGUUUGUUGCAUUUCAUUUGCUUUUCCGGUGUGGAGCAUCGAAAAGGACUAUUAAAAAGGUGAUUUAGAUCCAAGCAAAACAUGAUUUGUUUGAAUGUUAAAAAUGUGUGUUUUGUUUGAAAACACUAUAGCAAGCCAUGUACUUGAAUGAUACUCCCCACCCCCACUGCAACACAGAGACAUUGUCAGAGAGACCCUCAAGAACCCACAUUAGAAAGUAACACAUUACAAAUAGCAACAUUCGCUGUAACACGUUACCUUUGGGAGUAACAUGAAGGCAACAAGGCAUAUUUCGCAGGCAGACAUGAUGACUGAAGUUAGCAAUGGGAAGAAAUCUUGCCAAAUUACCGUAUUUUUCAGAAU
RNAcentral lists this long non-coding RNA (1316 nucleotides) under Pogona vitticeps (central bearded dragon). Its description in RNAcentral is "lncRNA (ENSPVIG00000012230.1)". Lineage: Eukaryota; Metazoa; Chordata; Lepidosauria; Squamata; Agamidae. The record is from RNAcentral.